This is a non-coding RNA of Phalacrocorax carbo (great cormorant), 1402 nucleotides long. The record is from RefSeq and is a predicted model, not a curated record. Lineage: Eukaryota; Metazoa; Chordata; Aves; Suliformes; Phalacrocoracidae.
AACCUUCCCUUCUUCACCGCCCCGACUUCCCUCAGGGGGUUCAUUGGGAGGGAGCAGCCGAGCUAUGUUUCCUCGAGACUGGAACGCUCAGCUGUGGAAGGGAAGACGUUGUAAGAAGCCACGAUUCCCUUCACUUAAUUUUGUCAACUCUAAGUUCGCUGCCAUUUGCAGCCUUUUUGUAGAAGUUGAACAGUCAGAUCCCAAGGAAUCCUGCAGGAGAGAAGAAUAUAAGUACAGAGAGAAGAGGAUUCAGAACAAAAUAGUGGUCAUGGACACUGAUACUCUGGAAGUCAUCAAAUGAGUGGGCCCUGAUUGCCAGCUUGGAAAGAAUGGGCUUUAAAAUGUAUUCUCACAUAUUGAUGUGGAGCAAUGUCUUUGUUCAAGUCUGUUAACACCUAUCAAAUUUUGUAGUAAAACAUUAGAAUGUAGAAAAUUCAGUACGUAAUAUAUAGAAGUAUAUAUCUGUCUAGAUCUGAUACAGAAGAUAGGGAGAAAAAAUCUGAAAGAAGCACAUUUUUGUGACCAAACUCUGAGGAGAGAAUUAAAAAAAAAAUCUUGUCACAUGCAUAUUUAUCCUUUUUCCUGAGAAGAGAAAACUUACAUAAUUAUUCCACCUGAACAAGCAUUUGUCUUUCUGUCUGCCUGGCACAAUUCCUCCAGGUAGUUUUAGAACUUGUGACCAAUUUCAACCAAAUGUAACAGAAGGUUACAAGUUAUUACAUUACAGCAAGUUACAUGAAAACAGGUGGCAAUGCAGAGCAGGAUUUUCAGUGGGAGGGAAACUCUAGUGUGCAUGCAGUUCAUAUGGGUAGUCUAACCUACCGGGAAAGUUGAGUCAGAACUCUCUUGCUUAUGGAAAUAUUUGUUAUAAUCUUAUUUGGAUAGUUAUUGAAAUCUGUAAAUGUGUUUAUUCUGCAUACUUCUGGGAAAACUACAACCUAUCUAUAGAAAAUUAUUUCUUUCCCUAUUCUUUUACAAACCAGACUCAAAGCCUUUUCAAGAUACUGAUGCUCUUGAUGCAGGAUAUACUAAAUGGAUUUCAUAACAAAAGCAUUCAGUUUAUUUGCUGAAUGUCAUUAGUCACCUUGUCUCUCAGCUGCUCAUAGUGAUGGUAGCUAACAACUUCUCAGCAAAGAGAACAUGGAAAAUGUGCUUUCUGAGAGUAAUGCAAAUGACCAAAGAGAGAGUAUAUAAGAACCCUAAAUACAGAUUUAUGCCCUGCAUCCCUGGAAAUUAGCCACAAUUAUGGAUAAAGAGAUUUAAAAAUGGUGUUGUUAGUGUUGCCGUACAUAUAUUACUGUGACAGCAAAAAACCUCCCCACCAUAUUUAACACUACCACAUAAAUGCAGGCAAUAUUUUCUGUUAUCACAGGAUAUAUUAAACCUGUGAACAUAACUGGAA